GACAUAAUAUUUUUUAUUAUUUUAUGGUUAUUUUUUAUUUUUCAAAAAAGGAAUAAAGGUGAGAAGGAAGUGAAUUGAGAACGAGAGAAAGCGGCUGAGUUAAACCCUGUUCGUUUAAUCUCUUGACUUCAUCGUCAGUUACCGUUUUCCCCUCCAAAACAUGAUUUUCAGAGCUUCUCUUCAACGUUCGCUCGCUUCAAGGUGAUAAGGAUUUAACAUUGGGUAUCUGCUUCUUGAAGGAGAUACCAAAAAUAAUUUGAGAGUAUGUCUGGAUGCAAUAAAUCACCUAAAAAUGAUCAACAAUCAAUCAAAUAUUGGUGGAUUCAACAUGGAGGGAAAUCCUCUAAUACUACUGAUCUUUCUCGCAUCGAUUGUUCGCCUUCUCUAUCCAAUAACGAGAAUAAGCAAUGCUAUAGAAGUUCUCAACUAAAGUCCCCUGAGAUACUGAGCACGCCUCAGCUCAUCUCUGCAAUAGGCCAGUUAUGGGAUUCUGCUAGUCGCCCACUUUCAUUUUCCCUCCCAAAGGAAAAUGUGAAACAAGAUGAUAAAGGAAACCCAAAUGAGAAAAUUCUGGGUCACAUUCAUGAGAAAAGAAAUGGCGUGGUUACUUCAAAUAACACCAAUUACUAUUCUGUUAAUCCGAGGGCUACUUGCUUCGGUUCACAAAUUGUACAGGAAAAAUUGGAUUUCCCUACGGUAAGACAGAAGAUGUUAAUACUUGAAUCUUCUUAUGGAAGUCAAGAUGAUAUUCAUUCUUUAUACCAAAGAUUUUUGCAUGCAAGUGAUAAAAAUUCAAAUGCAUAUUUUAAUGAAGUGGAACUUGGGAGUGAAAAUGUGUAUUGUUGGAUGAAUAGGAAUGCUCCUAGUGAGCUAAAAUGUCAUGUAAAGGUUACUGAGCCUGAGAACCUGAAAACUAAUUAUCUGGUUGCCAAGGACUGCAUUUCAGUAGACACGACUGCAUCAGCUAAUGAAAGUGAAGCUCCAUCAAUACCUAAUAAUGUGGUUCGGAACACAAAAGAAGUAAAUCCUCUUGGUUCAGACUAUUUUCUUCAAGCUGUGUCGGAUAGUCAAAUGGAUGUUGGUGUUUGUCAUACCCUUUCUUCUAGUAUCUUUGCAGACUAUCAUAUUAACUCUUUAGCUACCUGUGACAGUGCUUCUGUGCAGUGCCAAUGUAAGAUUGAUGAUAAUGAUUUAAUGGAAAUCCAAAGAAGACAUUUAUCAGAUAUAAGUCAUGAUGAACCUAAGGCUCAGAUCUUCUCUGCAACCCAUCAGAAGCCUUGUCAUUCCCUAGCCAAGCAAGAACAUGCUUUUUCUGGGGCGUUGGCUGGAAUUUGUGUCAGCUUUUGUCUGCAUCCUGUUGACACGAUCAAGACAGUCAUUCAGUCGUGUCGUGCAGAACAGAGGUCCAUCUUUUACACUGGCAAAUCAAUUGUUUCUGAUAGAGGUUUUCCUGGACUAUAUCGUGGACUUACUACAAACAUUGCAUGUUCCGCUCCAACUUCUGCAGUUUAUACAUUCACGUAUGAAUCAGUUAAAGCAGCUUUACUUCCUUAUCUUCCAAAGGAGUAUUACUCUUUUGCACAUUGUGUGGGAGGUGGUUGUGCAAGCAUUGCCACAUCUUUCAUUUUUACUCCUAGUGAGCGAAUAAAGCAGCAGAUGCAAGUUGGGUCUCAUUACCGUAACUGCUGGGAUGUAUUGGUUGCAAUUAUCAGAAACGGUGGUCUUUACUCCCUUUAUGCAGGUUGGAGAGCUGUACUGUGCCGAAACAUUCCUCAUUCAGUUAUCAAGGUGGGAGGGGGAGGAUCACAUGAGGAAUUGGUAUUGUAUGCCCAAAAGUCCCUCAUCCUAAUGAUACACUAUUUUCAAUUUUUAUACAUAUGAAAGCUUGAAGCAAGUGAUGCCAUCUUCUAGUAUUCAAUCCCACACAUUUCAGACUUUAGUGUGUGGAGGAUUAGCUGGAUCUACUGCUGCUUUAUUCACAACUCCGUUUGAUGUGAUCAAGACAAGAUUACAGACACAGAUUCCUGGAUCAAGAAAUCAAUAUGAUAGUGUGUUUCAUGCCCUUUACAAAAUUAGCAAGACUGAAGGUUUGAAGGGACUAUACAGGGGGUUGACUCCAAGGUUGAUUAUGUACGUGUCUCAAGGAUCGUUGUUCUUUGCUUCAUAUGAAUUUUUCAAGAGUGCAUUUUCUUUGGAUGCAUCACUUCCCACUGGUUUAUAAUUUCACGUCGACAACAAGAAUGCUGAAGACAUAAAAUCUUAGAAUUAGCAAGACCGUUGUCAGGAGUACCAGCAGCAGCAUCGCCGAGCUUCGAAUGUUUAAUGGUGCCACAAGCUGCAAGCAAGUUCAUAAACUGUAUAUUUGAUGUAUGUAUAUGUAUACUAAGAACAUGUGAAGAUGCAAAAGAUCCACAGCAAUCAACCAUUGGAGAAAUCAUGCUUCCCCAAGUUGACAAGGAUAUAUUUGCAUUGCAAGUAUUAUCUUUGAAUGUUACCUCCACCAUUUGGAUGAUACGAUUACAUUGUAAGACGCAGACAAGAGUUUGUUAUUGUUUCUGACUGAAUAAUUUUGGUGUUCAUCUAAAGGAAUUUGUUUUUCUUCUGAGGAAUUAGUCAAUGAUUUUGUACCAUAUUAAAAAUUCACAAUUGGCAUCUUAUUAUUUCAUCAAUUCAUACCAGAAAUUACAAAA
Cicer arietinum (chickpea) is the source of this 2690-nucleotide non-coding RNA. Lineage: Eukaryota; Viridiplantae; Streptophyta; Magnoliopsida; Fabales; Fabaceae. The record is from RefSeq and is a predicted model, not a curated record.